UAGGGGUUUUGUUUGGCUCAGAUUGAACGCUGGCGGCAGGCCUAACACAUGCAAGUCGAGCGGUAGCACAGAGAGCUUGCUCUCGGGUGACGAGCGGCGGACGGGUGAGUAAUGUCUGGGAAACUGCCUGAUGGAGGGGGAUAACUACUGGAAACGGUAGCUAAUACCGCAUAAUGUCGCAAGACCAAAGUGGGGGACCUUCGGGCCUCAUGCCAUCAGAUGUGCCCAGAUGGGAUUAGCUAGUAGGUGGGGUAACGGCUCACCUAGGCGACGAUCCCUAGCUGGUCUGAGAGGAUGACCAGCCACACUGGAACUGAGACACGGUCCAGACUCCUACGGGAGGCAGCAGUGGGGAAUAUUGCACAAUGGGCGCAAGCCUGAUGCAGCCAUGCCGCGUGUGUGAAGAAGGCCUUCGGGUUGUAAAGCACUUUCAGCGGGGAGGAAGGCGUUAAGGUUAAUAACCUUGUCGAUUGACGUUACCCGCAGAAGAAGCACCGGCUAACUCCGUGCCAGCAGCCGCGGUAAUACGGAGGGUGCAAGCGUUAAUCGGAAUUACUGGGCGUAAAGCGCACGCAGGCGGUCUGUCAAGUCGGAUGUGAAAUCCCCGGGCUCAACCUGGGAACUGCAUUCGAAACUGGCAGGCUAGAGUCUUGUAGAGGGGGGUAGAAUUCCAGGUGUAGCGGUGAAAUGCGUAGAGAUCUGGAGGAAUACCGGUGGCGAAGGCGGCCCCCUGGACAAAGACUGACGCUCAGGUGCGAAAGCGUGGGGAGCAAACAGGAUUAGAUACCCUGGUAGUCCACGCCGUAAACGAUGUCGAUUUGGAGGUUGUGCCCUUGAGGCGUGGCUUCCGGAGCUAACGCGUUAAAUCGACCGCCUGGGGAGUACGGCCGCAAGGUUAAAACUCAAAUGAAUUGACGGGGGCCCGCACAAGCGGUGGAGCAUGUGGUUUAAUUCGAUGCAACGCGAAGAACCUUACCUGGUCUUGACAUCCACAGAACUUAGCAGAGAUGCUUUGGUGCCUUCGGGAACUGUGAGACAGGUGCUGCAUGGCUGUCGUCAGCUCGUGUUGUGAAAUGUUGGGUUAAGUCCCGCAACGAGCGCAACCCUUAUCCUUUGUUGCCAGCGGUUCGGCCGGGAACUCAAAGGAGACUGCCAGUGAUAAACUGGAGGAAGGUGGGGAUGACGUCAAGUCAUCAUGGCCCUUACGACCAGGGCUACACACGUGCUACAAUGGCAUAUACAAAGAGAAGCGACCUCGCGAGAGCAAGCGGACCUCAUAAAGUAUGUCGUAGUCCGGAUUGGAGUCUGCAACUCGACUCCAUGAAGUCGGAAUCGCUAGUAAUCGUAGAUCAGAAUGCUACGGUGAAUACGUUCCCGGGCCUUGUACACACCGCCCGUCACACCAUGGGAGUGGGUUGCAAAAGAAGUAGGUAGCUUAACCUUCGGGAGGGCGCUUACCACUUUGUGAUUCAUGACUGGGGUGAAGUCGUAACAG
Molecule: ribosomal RNA, 1495 nt
Filed under: Klebsiella pneumoniae
Lineage: Bacteria; Pseudomonadati; Pseudomonadota; Gammaproteobacteria; Enterobacterales; Enterobacteriaceae
Description: bacterial SSU rRNA
Rfam family: Bacterial small subunit ribosomal RNA
Source: RNAcentral